RNAcentral lists this long non-coding RNA (1195 nucleotides) under Elaeis guineensis (African oil palm). RNAcentral's name for it is "long non-coding RNA (EGUI_LNC072321)". Lineage: Eukaryota; Viridiplantae; Streptophyta; Magnoliopsida; Arecales; Arecaceae. The record is from RNAcentral.
UUGUUAUUUGCUUGGUUAGAAACUAUUUUUGAGCCUAAAUUGCUAGUUCAAAUUUGGCUCAUUUAGUAUUAAAUCAAGCCCGAACUAAGCCCAAGCUAAGCUCAAGCUGCUUAUUUACCACCUUAUAGCUUUCACAUAGCAUGAGUGCUUAGAGAUACAGGCCCUAUGUGACAGAGGAGUAUAAGCCAAAUCAGAGAGAGAGAGAGAGAGUUGGGAAUUUAGGGUUUGAACGCUAAUUUGUUUGAGUGUCUUCAUGGUCUGAACUGAAAAAGAUAGGCCUCUCCAAUGGAUGGAUAUAGGCUUGAGCAUUCUUUCCAUUGAGGUCAUAUAGCCUUCUAAUUGGUAUACCAAUUUGAAUGUGAAGCCAACCUCUCUAAGUUUGUCAUCGUUUUGGUUACACCUACAUCUGUGAGAUAGCUAGUCAUGGAUAUACAACUCCAAUAAGAUUCUCGUUAUUAUGCAUAAAGAUUUGAGCCAUUUAUGGAAUAGGGAGGAGCUGCAAAAAAUAGAUGAGCCGUUUUUGUAAAUUUCAAACCCUGGGGCUUCAGAACCAAGAUGGUAAGUUGAGAAUUUAUGGAAUUAGUAAAUUUAGUGAUAAUUAUUAUUAUUUUUUUUAAGAUAAUAAUCCGAAAAUUUACAAAAUUAGUCAAAGUAUUCCAUCAUCUUAGUCCAUAUUAUACUACCAAAGUGUCAGCAAAUUUAGUAAAUUCAAACGUCAUUUUCAUUAUUCCUUUUUUAAGAUAAUAAUUUGCAAACUCACGGGAUCAGUCAAAAUAUUGCUUGAUCUUGGUCGAUAUUACCAUAACUAUCAUCUUAACAUUUUAAUUUUACUAUUCAAUCACUAAAAUAUGUAUUUAAAAUAAAAAAAAUAGAAAGCUCUAAUCGUAAUAGUCGCCGAUAUCAAUUUAUAUCCAUUAAAAUAAUAAAAAUUAAGAUUUUAUGCAACAAAAUCAUGCUUUUGACCAAGAAGAAAACCUUGCCUAACAAUUAGAUUUAACCAGAGCUAGCGUGAAUCAUGCAUUGGAUGUUUAUGAAUUAAUAAAACACCAAUUCCUCAUGCCCUAUGUCAUGCUAGCUGGGCGUGGAAAAGUUUUACAACGUCGCCUCACUUAAUUGACUGUUCCACCAUGUGUAUGACUCUUACCAUUCUUAACUACAUCAGCAUGUAAAAGCAUGGUUUGAAAUUUUGGCUAAA